RNAcentral lists this ribosomal RNA (774 nucleotides) under uncultured Neocallimastigales. RNAcentral's name for it is "partial large subunit ribosomal RNA". It matches the Rfam family "Eukaryotic large subunit ribosomal RNA", at positions 20 to 644 of the family's 3401-position model. The record is from RNAcentral. Lineage: Eukaryota; Fungi; Neocallimastigomycota; Neocallimastigomycetes; Neocallimastigales.
CAUCACUACGCUAGAUGCAUAUCAAUAAGCGGAGGAAAAGAAACUAACUAGGAUUCCCCUAGUAACGGCGAGUGAAGCGGGAAGAGCUCAAAUUUGAAAUCUUAAAGGUUUCCCUUGACGAAUUGUAGUUUAAAGAAGUGUUUUCUGUUGGAGUUUCGGUAAAAGUUCUUUGGAAUAGGACAUCAUAGAGGGUGAGAAUCCCGUAUUUGACCGUUACUUUCCAGCUGUGUGAUACAUUUUCAAAGAGUCGGAUUGUUUGGGAAUGCAGUCCAAAAUGGGUGGUAAAUUUCAUCUAAAGCUAAAUAUUGGCGAGAGACCGAUAGCGAACAAGUACCGUGAGGGAAAGAUGAAAAGAACUUUGAAAAGAGAGUUAAACAGUACGUGAAAUUGUCAAAAGGGAAGCGUUUGACACCAGUGUUGUUUAGUUGAAAAUCAAUUCAAUAAUUUUUGAUUUUAAGUAGUAUUGACUUCAUCAGCUUGCUGCUUUCUUUUCAGGAAUUAUUGAAUGCACUUUUCAGUUAACAAGUCAACAUCAAUUUCUUUUGUUGUAAAAGGGUAAGAGGAAGGUGGCUUACGCUUCGGCGUAAGUGUUUAUAGCCUUUUACCUCUGCAAUCGGAGAGAUUGAGGUCAGCAGCGUAGACUCUUCGGGGUUAGAUACACUUGUGCUAAGCUAUAGCCUUGUAUAGACAACUUGUUGACUAUGCUCAGUCAUGUAGCUUACUCGCUUGUGCUAUUUUACCUACGCUUAGGAUGUUGAAGAUAUGCGCGACACG